AACGCACGAGACCUGCGGACCUGCGGAGGGAUCAUUAAUGAGAAGCUGCCCCUCGUGGGUAGACCUCCCACCCUCUGUGAACUUACCUUUGUUGCUUUGGCAGGCCCGUCCUCUGGACCGCCGGCUUCGGCUGGCCCGUGCCUGCCAGAGGAUUCCAAACCCUGUCUGUCAGUGUUGUCUGAGUCUAUAUGGAAUCGUUAAAACUUUUAGCAACGGAUCUCUAGAUCGGAAGAGCACACG
RNAcentral lists this unclassified non-coding RNA (240 nucleotides) under soil metagenome. Its description in RNAcentral is "partial contains 5.8S ribosomal RNA, internal transcribed spacer 2, and large subunit ribosomal RNA". The record is from RNAcentral.